GAUGAACGCCGGCGGUGUGCCUAAUACAUGCAAGUCGUACGCACUGGCCCAACUGAUUGAUGGUGCUUGCACCUGAUUGACGAUGGAUCACCAGUGAGUGGCGGACGGGUGAGUAACACGUAGGUAACCUGCCCCGGAGCGGGGGAUAACAUUUGGAAACAGAUGCUAAUACCGCAUAACAAUAAAAGCCGCAUGGCUUUUAUUUGAAAGAUGGCUUUGGCUAUCACUCUGGGAUGAACCUGCGGUGCAUUAGCUAGUUGGUAAGGUAACGGCUUACCAAGGCGAUGAUGCAUAGCCGAGUUGAGAGACUGAUCGGCCACAAUGGAACUGAGACACGGUCCAU
Molecule: ribosomal RNA, 343 nt
Filed under: uncultured bacterium
Lineage: Bacteria
Description: bacterial SSU rRNA
Rfam family: Bacterial small subunit ribosomal RNA
Source: RNAcentral